UAGGGAAUCUUCGGCAAUGGGACGAAAGUCUGGCCGAGCAACGCCGCGUGAGUGAAGAAGGUUUUCGGAUCGUAAAACUCUGUUGGUAGAGAAGAACGUUGGUGAGAGUGGAAAGCUCAUCAAGUGACGGUAACUACCCAGAAAGGGACGGCUAACUACGUGCCAC
RNAcentral lists this ribosomal RNA (166 nucleotides) under uncultured bacterium. Its description in RNAcentral is "partial 16S rRNA". It matches the Rfam family "Bacterial small subunit ribosomal RNA", at positions 355 to 511 of the family's 1533-position model. The record is from RNAcentral.